GAUGAACGCUAGCGGCAGGCUUAAUACAUGCAAGUCGAGGGGCAGCGCAGUGUAGCAAUACAUGGGCGGCGACCGGCAAACGGGUGCGGAACACGUACGCAACCUACCCAAAACUGGGGA
This 120-nucleotide ribosomal RNA is filed under the name uncultured bacterium. RNAcentral describes it as "partial 16S ribosomal RNA". It matches the Rfam family "Bacterial small subunit ribosomal RNA", at positions 28 to 142 of the family's 1533-position model. The record is from RNAcentral.